RNAcentral lists this unclassified non-coding RNA (188 nucleotides) under plant metagenome. Its description in RNAcentral is "partial contains small subunit ribosomal RNA, internal transcribed spacer 1, and 5.8S ribosomal RNA". The record is from RNAcentral.
UUUCCGUAGGUGAACCUGCGGAAGGAUCAUUAACAAAUCUUUAAACAAACCUUUGUGAAUAAGGGGGAGGAUAUAUAUCCCUUUCCUAGAAACAUAUAUACCAAAAAAAGUCUAUAAAUAACUUAUAAAAAUAAUUUAAAUACAACUUUUAACAAUGGAUCUCUUGGCUCUUGCAUCGAUAGAAGAGC